UCGGGAAUAUUGCACAAUGGGCGAAAGCCUGAUGCAGCAACGCCGUGUGAGCGACGAAGGUCUUCGGAUCGUAAAGCUCUGUUGUUGGGGCCGAAGGGCGAAGGGUUAAUAGCCCCUAGCCUGACGGUACCCUUCGAGGAAGCCCCGGCUAACUACGUGCCAGCAGCCGCGGUAAUACGUAGGGGGCGAGCGUUGUCCGGAAUUAUUGGGCGUAAAGAGCGUGUAGGCAGUUUGGUAAGUCUGCCGUGAAAACUCGGGGCUCAACCCCGAGCGUGCGGUGGAUACGGCCAGGCUAGAGGAUGGUAGAGGCGAGUGGAAUUCCCGGUGUAGCGGUGAAAUGCGCAGAUAUCGGGAGGAACACCAGUAGCGAAGGCGGCUCGCUGGGCCAAUCCUGACGCUGAGACGCGAAAGCUAGGGGAGCAAACAGGAUUAGAUACCCCCGUAGUCC
This 448-nucleotide ribosomal RNA is filed under the name uncultured prokaryote. RNAcentral describes it as "bacterial SSU rRNA". It matches the Rfam family "Bacterial small subunit ribosomal RNA", at positions 355 to 796 of the family's 1533-position model. The record is from RNAcentral.